RNAcentral lists this ribosomal RNA (468 nucleotides) under uncultured bacterium. RNAcentral's name for it is "partial 16S ribosomal RNA". It matches the Rfam family "Bacterial small subunit ribosomal RNA", at positions 28 to 507 of the family's 1533-position model. The record is from RNAcentral.
GACGAACGCUGGCGGCGUGCUUAACACAUGCAAGUCGAACGGAAAGGCCCUGCUUUUGUGGGGUGCUCGAGUGGCGAACGGGUGAGUAACACGUGAGUAACCUGCCCUUGACUUUGGGAUAACUUCAGGAAACUGGGGCUAAUACCGGAUAGGAGCUCCUGCUGCAUGGUGGGGGUUGGAAAGUUUCGGCGGUUGGGGAUGGACUCGCGGCUUAUCAGCUUGUUGGUGGGGUAGUGGCUUACCAAGGCUUUGACGGAUAGCCGGCCUGAGAGGGUGACCGGCCUCAUUGGGACUGAGAGACGGCCCAGACUCCUACGGGAGGCAGCAGUGGGGAAUAUGGCACAAUGGGCGGAAGCCUGAUGCAACAACGCCGCGUGCGGGAUGACGGCCUUCGGGUUGUAAACCGCUUUCGCCUGUGACGAAGCGUGAGUGACGGUAAUGGGUAAAGAAGCACCGGCUAACUACGUG